Molecule: non-coding RNA, 1327 nt
Organism: Lepisosteus oculatus (spotted gar)
Lineage: Eukaryota; Metazoa; Chordata; Actinopteri; Semionotiformes; Lepisosteidae
Source: RefSeq, a predicted model, not a curated record
UCAUAAAGGCGCAAGAACUUAAGAAAGAUUCCAAAUCAGAGAAGAGGCUGCUCUUAUAAAAAACCUUCUUUAUUUAUAUACGGUGAGGGAAACUCCAUGACGAAAACCUGGCUCCUCUUUGAACUCUACCUGAACACUUUUACCACGAGCUGCGUAGCUAGGCUGCUUGCCGAUAAAUAAUCCCAGACUCUCUCGAUUUAAAAGAAACCAAAAUGCUUCUUUUCCAAACCUCACAAUGUCAUGUACGCCGGUCAACAGCCUGUCGUUCUCUUCCUCCCGAUGUCCCUCUGGCGCAGAGUUUCUGCUGUUUUCUCCUAGACAUAAAACACGGACCAGCCGCCGAUGAAAGCCUCCUCUUUCUGGUUUUUAGUGGCCACCCCACCAAUUGUUCAGCCCCAAUUGGUCAGGUGUCAAAGCAGUGCUUUCUGGGAAAUGUAGUUCAGGCAAGAGCAGCCAUCUUGUUUCAACCUACCAUCCUCUUACAAUAUGUGUGUUGUAAAACACUGGUGUCAUAUACGCACGGCUCAUUGGAUCCAUUGCAGCCCCAGAGUGCUGGUCUUGAUGAGCAGACUCUGGCAUCCACAGAACGUACUGGUGGAAGGUGCUGCUAGGCUUGCAGCCUGCUCUACCUGUUUGGGUUGUUGACUGUGUCACCUCUUUCCCCUGGCAUUCCUCAUGUUGCAGACUUCCUGUCACCUGGGUGGAUGCACUCUCAGCAGGACCCGCAUGGAGACUGACAUGUGGCUGAGGGCCAGGAAGCGGAAAACCCAGCCAGCCUGGUAACCACUUCAGAAAGAGGAAGAUCGCGGGCUCGCUGGUGACGGCUUGGCUUCCUUCCUCCCUCCUCGCGCCGGGAGGCUGCAGCAGCUUCUCUCCGCUUCGCCUGCUUGCAGUCAAGUCCUAGAGGGGCCAGGCAGUCCGCGGCGCGGGUUCGAGACACCGGGACAGAGCCCGCUGGCACCAUGGCGUUCCGCUUCUCAGUUUUCCGGAAAACCAAAGGCAUGGCUGGUGAGUUCGACUUUUCUCUCCUGCUUUGGUCUCUGACCGUGCUCCCGAGCUCGGAUAGAGGGAAAGAGCAACAGGAUCUGGGGUCUCCGGCCCCUUAGAAAAUGUGCAGUCCUGAAGUUGUACUGCAGUGAGAAUUCUCCCGAUCAUUAAGAGAUUCAAUCUGCAGUGUGAAGGCAUGCUGUCGUUAUAUGUUCCAUAUAAUUCCUGGGAAUCGUAGGAUUGUUCAAAUGGGAGUUUAGAGACUGCCGGCAUGAGUUUAACCCCAAAUUACCUGUGCGGUACUGACGUCAUUCCUGAUCGAUAUUCAGUUUUCAAUCUA